RNAcentral lists this signal recognition particle RNA (266 nucleotides) under Candidatus Bipolaricaulota bacterium. RNAcentral's name for it is "signal recognition particle sRNA large type". It matches the Rfam family "Bacterial large signal recognition particle RNA". Rfam says of the family: The signal recognition particle (SRP) is a universally conserved ribonucleoprotein involved in the co-translational targeting of proteins to membranes. Archaeal SRP consists of a 7S RNA and homologues of the eukaryotic SRP19 and SRP54 proteins. In most bacteria, the SRP consists of a 4.5S RNA and the Ffh protein (a homologue of the eukaryotic SRP54 protein). The record is from RNAcentral. Lineage: Bacteria; Candidatus Bipolaricaulota.
CUGUGCUAGGUGGGGGGCUAGCGGUCCCCUACAUCCACAACCCGCUACAGUGGAGCCGAAGGGCUUCCGGAGGGGGAAGGCGUGAGGGUCCGUCCUCGGGCAAGCGGUGCCGACGACCGAGCCCUCUGCGGCGCACGUCGGUGAAUCCCGUCAGGCCCGGAAGGGAGCAGCGGUAAGCUGACCUCUGCGGGUGUUAGAGGACCCCUUGGUCUGAGCUGGCUACUCGAGAAGCGCCUUGCUCCUUCUUUCGAUGGCGCCACGCACAG